GGUUAAGCGACUAAGCGUACACGGUGGAUGCCCUGGCAGUCAGAGGCGAUGAAGGACGUGCUAAUCUGCGAUAAGCGUCGGUAAGGUGAUAUGAACCGUUAUAACCGGCGAUUUCCGAAUGGGGAAACCCAGUGUGAUUCGUCACACUAUCAUUAACUGAAUCCAUAGGUUAAUGAGGCGAACCGGGGGAACUGAAACAUCUAAGUACCCCGAGGAAAAGAAAUCAACCGAGAUUCCCCCAGUAGCGGCGAGCGAACGGGGAGCAGCCCAGAGCCUGAAUCAGUGUGUGUGUUAGUGGAAGCGUCUGGAAAGGCGCGCGAUACAGGGUGACAGCCCCGUACACAAAAAUGCACAUGCUGUGAGCUCGAUGAGUAGGGCGGGACACGUGGUAUCCUGUCUGAAUAUGGGGGGACCAUCCUCCAAGGCUAAAUACUCCUGACUGACCGAUAGUGAACCAGUACCGUGAGGGAAAGGCGAAAAGAACCCCGGCGAGGGGAGUGAAAAAGAACCUGAAACCGUGUACGUACAAGCAGUGGGAGC
RNAcentral lists this ribosomal RNA (540 nucleotides) under Escherichia coli. RNAcentral describes it as "partial 23S ribosomal RNA". It matches the Rfam family "Bacterial large subunit ribosomal RNA", at positions 1 to 580 of the family's 2925-position model. RNAcentral also lists the same sequence under 2 other names. The record is from RNAcentral. Lineage: Bacteria; Pseudomonadati; Pseudomonadota; Gammaproteobacteria; Enterobacterales; Enterobacteriaceae.